RNAcentral lists this ribosomal RNA (28 nucleotides) under Agaricus matrum. RNAcentral's name for it is "partial 28S ribosomal RNA". The record is from RNAcentral. Lineage: Eukaryota; Fungi; Basidiomycota; Agaricomycetes; Agaricales; Agaricaceae.
UGACCUCAAAUCAGGUAGACUACAGCGA